AGACAGUGUUAUUUGUAGUAAAAUAAUAGUAAAUGAAAUUCUUAUGAACUUUAUAAGCUUUUUCCUUUGGAUAAGUUAACAUCAAUAGGGCUUUAAAAGAAGGAAAUAAAGAAAGCAAAAGCUAUAGGGAGAUUUAAUGGAUUCCACAGUCUGUGUCUUCUGCUGUUUCUUUGAUGAGCAUUAUACUCACGCCUCCAACAAUAAGACAAACCAUAGCCCACCUAACAAACCCCACUUUCAAACUAAUCAAAA
Molecule: unclassified non-coding RNA, 252 nt
Filed under: Hevea brasiliensis (rubber tree)
Lineage: Eukaryota; Viridiplantae; Streptophyta; Magnoliopsida; Malpighiales; Euphorbiaceae
Source: RNAcentral